UGCAAGUCGAACGAACCUUCGGGUUAGUGGCGGACGGGUGAGUAACGCGUGAGAAUCUGCCCUCAGGAGGGGGAUAACGGUUGGAAACGACCGCUAAUACCCCAUAUGCCGAGAGGUGAAAUGAAAUUCGCCUGAGGAUGAGCUCGCGUCUGAUUAGCUAGUUGGUAGGGUAAAGGCCUACCAAGGCAUUGAUCAGUAGCUGGUCUGAGAGGAUGAUCAGCCACACUGGGACUGAGACACGGCCCAGACUCCUACGGGAGGCAGCAGUGGGGAAUUUUCCGCAAUGGGCGCAAGCCUGACGGAGCAACGCCGCGUGAGGGAUGAAGGCCUCUGGGCUGUAAACCUCUUUUAUCAAGGAAGAAGAACUGACGGUACUUGAUGAAUAAGCCACGGCUAAUUCCGUGCCAGCAGCCGCGGUAAUACGGGAGUGGCAAGCGUUAUCCGGAAUUAUUGGGCGUAAAGCGUCCGCAGGCGGUUUUACAAGUCUGUCGUUAAAGCGUGGAGCUCAACUCCAUUUCAGCGAUGGAAACUGUAAGACUCGAGUGUGGUAGGGGCAGAGGGAAUUCCCGGUGCAGCGGUGAAAUGCGUAGAUAUCGGGAAGAACACCAGUGGCGAAAGCGCUCUGCUGGGCCAUAACUGACGCUCAUGGACGAAAGCCAGGGGAGCGAAAGGGAUUAGAUACCCCUGUAGUCCUGGCCGUAAACGAUGAACACUAGGUGUCGGGGGAAUCGACCCCCUCGGUGUCGUAGCCAACGCGUUAAGUGUUCCGCCUGGGGAGUACGCACGCA
This 788-nucleotide ribosomal RNA is filed under the name uncultured bacterium. RNAcentral's name for it is "bacterial SSU rRNA". It matches the Rfam family "Bacterial small subunit ribosomal RNA", at positions 56 to 890 of the family's 1533-position model. The record is from RNAcentral.